CUAGGCGGACAUGGUGUAAGCUGCAGUUUGGGGCAAUUGGAGAUUUCCAAUUCACAAAGGUUAGGAAACAUAAACUCGCUCACACUAUCCUCAUCGCAAGAGUACAUUGUGUUCCACACUUCUAGGCUUGGCAUGCCUUCUAUGGUAAACUUCUUCAGUCGAGGAAAUGGCCCUGGGCCGCCACAAAAAUCCUCAUCGAUUUUCACCACGCUCUUCAUUCUUUCAAGACACAACUCUUCCAGAUUAGGUAAUUGGCCAAGUGGUGGUAGCCUGACGCACUUGGGCAUUUGUGCCAUGGUAAUUUGAAUAAGAUUAGGGAGAUAAAGGGAAAUGUCCAUUAACCAGGAUGGAUAUUUGGUGUCUUUAUAACCUUCCAUCCGAAACUUCUUUAGAGAUCUUGGAGGAACUAGCUCACGCAACAAAUCUAUGUCCUCCAUAGACCUCUUAACAUGUUGAGUCCAAUGCAAUUCCAACUCUUUGAUUCUUUGCUUUUCAAUCAGUUCUAUCUUCUGGACCUCUUUGACCGACCUCACAUUUUCAAGACAUCUUAUCUGCAAGUUAGGAGGAUUCACAUCAUUAAGCAGAACAAGGUUGCUAGAAGAUCCAUCAUCAUUAGGUUGCACCACAAAGCGUGGUAAUGUGAGUAAAUUUUUGUUCCAUUGUGGCACCUUGGACAGGUCACUACCAUUCAGAUUAACAAACUUCAGGCUGUCAGCUUUACCUAUACUUGCUGGUAAACUACUCAAAAGUGGGCAAUCCGAGAGGUCAAGUGUAUGUAGCUUUUUGAGUGUAUCAAAACAGUCAGGUAAGACGACGCCAUUAAGAUAUAUGUUCUUCGACAAGACCAAAUGCUCUAGGUUGUUCAGACAACCGAGGAAACUGAUAUCUAUUGAAGAACCCAAGUAAUUCAGCGAGCCUGACAAGUUCAAAUACUUGAGAUUGAUUAAGCUGUUCAAACCUUGAGCUAGCCUUUCCGUAUAAAAGUGUUCUGUAGACAGAUUCAAGUAUUCAAGUUUGGUGAGGGUACCCAAAACUUCUGUUUCUAACCUCCCUUUCAUAUAGGAGCAACUUGAUAAGUUCAAAUAUACCAGUUUCGAGAGGUUACCCAUAACUUCAGGUAGUUGUCCAAUAUUCCGGCAGUAUGAUAAAUUCAAAUAUUUGAGAUUGAUGAGACUCUCCAAGGAUUCUGAUACACCAGUAACAUUAGAACAAUUUGAUAAAUCCAGAUGAAUCAAUUUUUUUAGUUUGCCAAAUGACUCUGGCAGUUCUUUCAAUCCAGAACAACCUGACAAGUCAAUGUACAUCAGACUCUCCAUUUCUCCAAUUGACUUUGGCAGUGUCAAGAUUGCCGAAGACCCAGAAAUGCUGAGGAAAAUUAAUUUUGAGAGCUUAGUUAUACAAUUAGGGAUCAUUUUAUCCUUGAUCCCAAGAGCUUUAAGAUAUCUCAAUUGCUUCAAGUGACCAAUGGAAUCUGGCAACUUCUGUAUGGAGCACCCGCUUAAAUCCAAGACGCGCAUGUAUUUAGCAGAUGAAAAAGAAGCAUCUCGGAGCACAUUUUCUUCAUUUUCCAGAUAACGCACCGCCCUUACCUGGGUAGGAGAAUGAGUGAGUGAAUUCAAUGGCUUGGUACAAUCAUUGAGCAGCGCAAAGCGGCAUCUGCACCUCCCAGUAAUAUUGCCUUGUUUGCUAGCAUCUAAAAUUUCGUCGACCAUGACAUAUCUUGCUAAGUCAUGCACCAGGUCAUGCAUGGUCAGCAAUGUAACAUCCUCUUGAUGCACUUGAACAAUCUGCAACAGAAGAACUUGUCAGAAUC
This 1813-nucleotide small RNA is filed under the name Oryza sativa Japonica Group (Japanese rice). Its description in RNAcentral is "misc RNA Os11g0211400". Lineage: Eukaryota; Viridiplantae; Streptophyta; Magnoliopsida; Poales; Poaceae. The record is from RNAcentral.